RNAcentral lists this long non-coding RNA (1843 nucleotides) under Homo sapiens (human). Its description in RNAcentral is "HSALNT0204118". The record is from RNAcentral. Lineage: Eukaryota; Metazoa; Chordata; Mammalia; Primates; Hominidae.
GUAUGUUCUACUUCUACUCUGCUCUACCCUACUCUACUUCCACUCUGAUUCAGAAAAGCCUGAAUUUGCAAAAAGUUUGUUUCGAUCAUCAUAGGCAAGGUGAAAUAGAAAGUCGAAGAAAUCAUCUCGGUCAUUACGAGUCCUCAAGUAGUUGCUUUUUGUACUUUGAAUAAAGACUUUAGUCAUAGUAGGAGAGAUAGACUGUAAUGGACUUACUUCACGAUGGCUGCACCAGAGGUUCCAAGAACGAUGGCUUUCAACUUCAACCCACAUCUAAAACACACCACUGUAGCCACACCCUACACCCUGUGGUUAUCCAGUUGUGAGUCCUAUUGGAGAGAUGAGGUGUAUGACAGUUUCCUGGAGGGGGUCAUAUGGAUCUACUACUACCUUCCCACUGACAUUAGGCAGAUGUUCAUUAGAUUGGUUUGAUAGAUGUAAUGGUUAAUAUUGAGUGUCAACUUGAUUGGAUUGAAGGAUGCAAAGUAUUGUUCCUGGGUGCGUCUGUGAGGGUGUUGCCAAAGGAGAUUAACAUUUGAAUCAUUGGACUGGGAGAGGCAGACCCACCCUCAAUCUGGGUGGGCACAAUCUAAUCAGCUGCCAGCAUGGCCAGCAUAAAAGCAGGCAGAAGAAUGUGGAAGGAGUAGACUGGCUCAGUCUCCUGGCCUACAUCUUUCUCCCACGCUGCAUGCUUCCUGCCCUCGAACAUUGGACUCCAAGUUCUUCAGUUUUGGGACUCUUGAACCUUUGACCACAGACUGAAGGCUACACUGUUGACUUCCCUACUUUUGAGCUUUUAGGACUCGGACUGGCUUCCUUGUUCCUCAGCUUGCAGACGGCCUAUUGUGGGACCUCACUUUGUGAUCAUGUGAGUCAAUACUCCUUAAUAAACUCUCCUUUAAAUAUACAUCUAUCUUGUUAGUUCUGUCCCUCUAGAGAACCUUGACUAAUACGAUAGGGAAGCCAUAGUGACUGUCACUAAUAUUCUAAUAAAAGAAUUAUUAUCUAUGCCAACUCUGGAGAGCCACAGGUAAGCUAUACAUAGAUCAAAGUGUAAACCAGGGGUUCUCUGAGUGUGAUUCCUGGACCAGCAGUAUGUGGUGACAUUUGAAAUGCAAAUUCUUGGGCCCCACCUCAGACCACUGAAUUAGAAACUCCAGAGGUGGAGCUCAGCAGUUUGUUUUAACUAGUUCUCCAGGUGAUGCUGAGGCACAUCACAGUUGGAAAUGGUGAGGUAAGUAAGGAAUUUCAGCAGUUCAACUGCUGAAAUGUAGAUCUUAACAAAGUGCUAAAUGAAUAGAGGAAAAAGGGAUAAUUAUCUGAGACAUUUGGAUCUUGUUUCACGAAUAGGAGUUCAGAUGAAGUUAGGGAGGUCUUUUGAAGUAUAGGAAACAAGACAUGCAAAGACUGGGGAGGUUAGGAAGACCAGACCUAUUUCAAGAUAUACAAUGGCCUAGUGGGGCUUGAGGUAGCAGGGUGCAUUCUUUUUCUUAGAUAUGCUUCCUCCUCUCUGCUCCAUGGUGCCACACAUGAUGCUGGUGAUAAAGGAGACUGAGCGAGGGUAAAGAUUCACAGUGCCAGCAAGGGCUUGGACAUUGGCAGCCUAUGGAUCAAAUUGUGCUUGCAGAUGGGCUGUAUUUGGUAUUUUAUUGUACAAACACUAUGUAUUUGGCAUAGCAUUAUACAAAUAAAUGUGAACUAACAUUUAAUAAUCAGUUUGGAUGUAUAUAUGUGUAUAUAUAUUAUGUAUAAAUAACAUAUAUGCUAACACAAAAAUAUAUGUGCUAUAUUUAUAUUCUAUACAAAUAACAUAUAAAUAUAUGUUAACAUAUAAAAAUAUAUG